UACGUAGGUGGCAAGCGUUGUCCGGAAUUAUUGGGCGUAAAGCGCGCGCAGGCGGCCUCUUAAGUCUGAUGUGAAAGCCCCCGGCUCAACCGGGGAGGGCCUUGGAAACUGGGAGGCUUGAGUAUAGGAGAGAAGAGUGGAAUUCACGUGUAGCGGUGAAAUGCGUAGAGAUGAUGGAGGAACACCAGUGGCGAAGGCGACUCUUUGGCCUAUAACUG
RNAcentral lists this ribosomal RNA (218 nucleotides) under uncultured bacterium. Its description in RNAcentral is "partial 16S ribosomal RNA". It matches the Rfam family "Bacterial small subunit ribosomal RNA", at positions 524 to 742 of the family's 1533-position model. The record is from RNAcentral.